This 468-nucleotide ribosomal RNA is filed under the name uncultured bacterium. RNAcentral's name for it is "partial 16S ribosomal RNA". It matches the Rfam family "Bacterial small subunit ribosomal RNA", at positions 28 to 507 of the family's 1533-position model. The record is from RNAcentral.
GACGAACGCUGGCGGCGUGCUUAACACAUGCAAGUCGAACGGAAAGGCCCUGCUUUUGUGGGGUGCUCGAGUGGCGAACGGGUGAGUAACACGUGAGUAACCUGCCCUUGACUUUGGGAUAACUUCAGGAAACUGGGGCUAAUACCGGAUAGGAGCUCCUGCUGCAUGGGGGGGGUUGGAAAGUUUCGGCGGUUGGGGAUGGACUCGCGGCUUAUCAGCUUGUUGGUGGGGUAGGGGCUUACCAAGGCUUUGACGGGUAGCCGGCAUGAGAGGGUGACCGGCCACAUUGGUACUGAGAUAACGACCAGACUGAUCAGGGAGGCAGUAGUGGGGAAUAGUGCACAAUGGGCGGAAGGCUGAUGCAGCAACGCCGCGUGCGGGAUGACGGCCUUCGGGUUGUAAACCGCUUUCGCCUGUGACGAAGCGUGAGUGACGGUAAUGGGUAAAGAAGGACUGGCUAACUACGUG